GACGAACGCUGGCGGCGUGCCUAAUACAUGCAAGUUGAGCGCUGAAGGUUGGUACUUGUACCAACUGGAUGAGCAGCGAACGGGUGAGUAACGCGUGGGGAAUCUGCCUUUGAGCGGGGGACAACAUUUGGAAACGAAUGCUAAUACCGCAUAAAAACUUUAAACACAAGUUUUAAGUUUGAAAGAUGCAAUUGCAUCACUCAAAGAUGAUCCCGCGUUGUAUUAGCUAGUUGGUGAGGUAAAGGCUCACCAAGGCGAUGAUCCAUAGCCGACCUGAGAGGGUGAUCGGCCACAUUGGGACUGAGACACGGCCCAAACUCCUACGGGAGGCAGCAGUAGGGAAUCUUCGGCAAUGGACGAAAGUCUGACCGAGCAACGCCGCGUGAGUGAAGAAGGUUUUCGGAUCGUAAAACUCUGUUGGUAGAGAAGAACGUUGGUGAGAGUGGAAAGCUCAUCAAGUGACGGUAACUACCCAGAAAGGGACGGCUAACUACGUG
Molecule: ribosomal RNA, 497 nt
Filed under: uncultured bacterium
Lineage: Bacteria
Description: partial 16S ribosomal RNA
Rfam family: Bacterial small subunit ribosomal RNA
Source: RNAcentral